AUCCCUGGGUUCGCUCGGUGUUGAUUCCUACUCCCAACUUAAUAGACACUGAACUAAUUUCUAAAAUGUACUAGGCUUGACUGAACUAUUGUUGAUCGUGUUGUCUAUCUGAACUGGACUGAGUUCACUGUGUUCUGAUAACUGAUUGAAUACUCUAGGUUCUGUUUACUAGCUGAAAGUACUAAGUUCUAUUAGUUGUCUGAGUACUACUGGAUGUGACAUCACUGAGACUAUUCUGAAACUACUGUAAAUCUAGGUAAAAAUCUAGAUUGUCAGGUAUUAGAUACCCCCA
This 292-nucleotide long non-coding RNA is filed under the name Capsicum annuum. RNAcentral's name for it is "long non-coding RNA (CANN_LNC008727)". Lineage: Eukaryota; Viridiplantae; Streptophyta; Magnoliopsida; Solanales; Solanaceae. The record is from RNAcentral.